AAUGAACGCUGGCGGCGUGCUUAACACAUGCAAGUCGCACGAGAACGCUUCAGCUUGCUGAGGCUAGUAAAGUGGCGCACGGGUGAGUAACGCGUGGGUAAUCUACCUCCGAAUUGGGGAUAACACUGCGAAAGCGGUGCUAAUACCGGAUACGAUCCCACGAUGGUGGUUGUGGGAUGAAAGUCAGCCACUCGAAGAAGCUGACGUACGAGGAUGGGCCUGCGUCCUAUCAGCUAGUUGGUGGGGUAGCGGCCUACCAAGGCGACGACGGGUAGCUGGUCUGAGAGGAUGAUCAGCCACACUGGCACUGGAACACGGGCCAGACUCCUACGGGAGGCUG
Molecule: ribosomal RNA, 340 nt
Filed under: uncultured Pseudomonadota bacterium
Lineage: Bacteria; Pseudomonadati; Pseudomonadota
Description: bacterial SSU rRNA
Rfam family: Bacterial small subunit ribosomal RNA
Source: RNAcentral